CCUACGGGUGGCUGCAGUGAGGAAUAUUGGUCAAUGGACGAGAGUCUGAACCAGCCAAGUAGCGUGAAGGAUGAAUGCCCUAUGGGUCGUAAACGUCUUUUAUAUGGGAAGAAAACGUUCCACGUGUGGGAUUUUGUAUGUACCAUAUGAAUAAGGAUCGGCUAACUCCGUGCCAGCAGCCGCGGUAAUACGGAGGAUUCGAGCGUUAUCCGUGAUUAUUGGGUUUAAAGGGAGCGUAGGUGGAUUGUUCAGUCAGUUGUGAAAGUUUGCGGCUCAACCGUAACAUUGCAGUUGAAACUGGCAGUCUUGAGUACAGUAGAGGUAGGCGGAAUUCGUGGUGUAGCGGUGAAAUGCUUAGAUAUCACGAAGAACUCCGAUUGCGAAGGCAGUUCACUGGACUGCAACUGACACUGAGGCUCGAAAGUGUGGGUAUCAAACAGGAUUAGAUACCCGGGUAGUC
This 460-nucleotide ribosomal RNA is filed under the name uncultured bacterium. RNAcentral's name for it is "partial 16S ribosomal RNA". It matches the Rfam family "Bacterial small subunit ribosomal RNA", at positions 338 to 795 of the family's 1533-position model. The record is from RNAcentral.